AAUAGAUACCCUGGUAGUCCACGCCCUAAACGAUGUCAACUAGCUGUUGGGGCCUUCGGGCCUUGGUAGCGCAGCUAACGCGUGAAGUUGACCGCCUGGGGAGUACGGUCGCAAGAUUAAAACUCAAAGGAAUUGACGGGGACCCGCACAAGCGGUGGAUGAUGUGGAUUAAUUCGAUGCAACGCGAAAAACCUUACCUACCCUUGACAUGUCUGGAAUGCCGAAGAGAUUUGGCAGUGCUCGCAAGAGAACCGGAACACAGGUGCUGCAUGGCUGUCGUCAGCUCGUGUCGUGAGAUGUUGGGUUAAGUCCCGCAACGAGCGCAACCCUUGUCAUUAGUUGCUACGAAAGGGCACUCUAAUGAGACUGCCGGUGACAAACCGGAGGAAGGUGGGGAUGACGUCAAGUCCUCAUGGCCCUUAUGGGUAGGGCUUCACACGUCAUACAAUGGUCGGGACAGAGGGUCGCCAACCCGCGAGGGGGAGCCAAUCCCAGAAACCCGAUCGUAGUCCGGAUCGCAGUCUGCAACUCGA
Molecule: ribosomal RNA, 533 nt
Filed under: uncultured bacterium
Lineage: Bacteria
Description: bacterial SSU rRNA
Rfam family: Bacterial small subunit ribosomal RNA
Source: RNAcentral